Dreissena polymorpha is the source of this 481-nucleotide long non-coding RNA. RefSeq lists it as uncharacterized. The transcript is spliced from 3 exons. NCBI's taxonomy places the organism in Eukaryota, Metazoa, Mollusca, Bivalvia, Myida, Dreissenidae. The record is from RefSeq and is a predicted model, not a curated record.
UACGUGUUGCAUUACCAUUCCUUUAUGAGUGUUGAUGACAGAUUUUUCGUGCGUUAGCGUCCCAUGCACACAACGGCGCCACGAAGAAUACGUCAAUGCCUGUCUUAAAACUGCGCCAAACGUAUUUCACCCCAGGAAACCCGAUACCUUGUGAUCAGCAUAAUACCAAUCGAGCAGCUUUGUGAAUUUAAGCGUGAACUUACAUAGGAUUAGAUUGAAGAAAAUCAUCACAAUAGAGCUAUAUCAAUGGACAUAUACAUAUACAACUGAUAUGGAACGAUAUAUUUGUUCUAGUACUACGAAUGGACUGAGAAUGUGUGUUCCGCAGGCCCAAACGUCAUCUUACCGGUACUAGUAAUCGGGCCGGUGCAAGUAUCCCUAACGAACAACGAAGCUCUGAAACGGUCCGUGUGGUCAAAUUAACAGCUUAACAAUUUUCCAGGUGAUCACCGACAUAUCAGUCCACUCUAUUGUCAAGGAA